This 447-nucleotide ribosomal RNA is filed under the name uncultured bacterium. RNAcentral describes it as "SSU rRNA". It matches the Rfam family "Bacterial small subunit ribosomal RNA", at positions 26 to 518 of the family's 1533-position model. The record is from RNAcentral.
AGAGCGAACGCUGGCGGCAGGCCUAACACAUGCAAGUCGAGCGCCCGUAGCAAUACGGGAGCGGCAGACGGGAUAGUAACACGUGGGAACGCGCCCUUCGGUUCGGAAUAACUCAGGGAAACUUGAGCUAAUACCGGAUACGCCCUUACGGGGAAAGAUUUAUUGCCGAAGGAACGGCCCGCGUCCGAUUAGCUAGUUGGUGAGGUAAUGGCUCACCAAGGCGACGAUCGGUAGCUGGUCUGAGAGGAUGACCAGCAUCACUGGGACUGAGACACGGCCCAGACUCCUACGGGGGGCAGCAGUGGGGAAUAUUGGACAAUGGGCGCAAGCCUGAUCCAGCCAUGCCGCGUGGAUGAUGAAGGCCUUAGGGUUGUAAAGUCCUUUUAACGGGGAAGAUAAUGACGGUACCGUAGAAUAAGCCCCGGCUAACUUCGUGCCAGCAGCCGC